Molecule: small nucleolar RNA, 126 nt
Organism: Apodemus sylvaticus (European woodmouse)
Lineage: Eukaryota; Metazoa; Chordata; Mammalia; Rodentia; Muridae
Product: small nucleolar RNA SNORA17
Exons: 1
Source: RefSeq, a predicted model, not a curated record
GCUGUCCCUAGUAAUGUUGUAGGCGUGGCUGCUGUGUCACGUUCACAUUGUCAGUAAGUGGCAGAAAGAGAGGCUGUCUGUAUUCAGUGUUCUGACCUAUGAAUAUCUGAAUGAUAGCCUAAUGGU